Molecule: unclassified non-coding RNA, 214 nt
Filed under: Hevea brasiliensis (rubber tree)
Lineage: Eukaryota; Viridiplantae; Streptophyta; Magnoliopsida; Malpighiales; Euphorbiaceae
Source: RNAcentral
AUCCAAGCCUGGCGAUCGCCGCGCGGGUUUCGGGAUCGUCGGUCUCGAUGACGAGCUUGAUGUCGAGUUUUUCGGGAGGAUAGUCCAGCGCACCGAUGUACUGCAUCAGCGGCGCGACGGAUGAGGCCUCGCGAUACAGCGCUGCGAUCACGGUGUAGAUGGGCAACUGACUGUCAGGCAGCCGGGGGCGCUGACGCCGCCGUUUGGGCGGCGA